GUUUUGGCUGUAAGCCGGUGGCGCUGAGGUGGUGGCGGCGGCGGCGCUACCGCCCCGUGGCGCUCAGCCUCAAGGCUCCCUCCCAGCCUCUCCUGAGCCCUCCGGGGCCUGCGCCGGCCAGCGCAUCCAGCCGGAGCUCCCAGAACACUCGCGGGUCCCCGCCGACUUCAGCUUCAGCGUCGCGGAAAUGUCUGAAGAGGAGAUCCAAAAGAAGACACUAGCUUCAGCUGUAGCCUGUUUAGAAGGGAAGUCACCAGGGGAGAAAGCAGCAAUCAUACAUCAGCAUCUCGGUCGUCGAGAAAUGACAGAUGUGAUCAUUGAGACCAUGAAGGCCAACCCAGAUAAUUAUGUCCACUGACUGGUUGCAAGUAAAACAGAUGAUGGAAAACUAGUACAGUAUGAGGGUGAUACUUGCCCAAAGGAGAAAAUAGACACCUUACAGUUAAAGUUUCUGAAAGAUGAGUUGAAAGCUGCAAUGGAAAAAAAAAAAAAAAAGAAAGCUGCAAUGGAAGAAAGUCUUCAGAAGCAUCCCCCAUUGCACCAAGAAGUAAAGAUCAAAGUAAAGAAGGCAGCUUCCAGACCAGAUUUCCUUCUUCGGUGGAAACCUCUCAGUUGAAAUAGUUCACAGUAUUAUGUAUCUAUUCAAGACAAGAACCUUUGGUUUAUCUAAUAUGUGGCCACAUAGGAUGUGGACAAUAUGUGAGUCAACAUGCCUAUAAGCACUUAGAGGAGACCCAACACACGUAUGCCAUGCAGCCCACCAACCAUCGAGUCUGGGACUACACUGGAGGUGAACACCACUCUUAUUUUCUAAUUUGGAUUCAUUCUGUCUGAAAACAUCUCCAUCAGAACUUUCUCUAAACCUUCUCACCGCUUGAAAUCUUCCUGACAGCUGUGGCAAACUCCAGUUCUCAUGGUGCCCCAUAGGGUGCUAUUUCCUAUGAAUGGCCUGCAUUACACAGGAUAAAGAGAGUUAAUGCUUACACUCCUGCCCUCUCACUUUUUUUUUUAAAUCAAAAUGAUUUAAACCACUUUUUAAAGAAGUAUUGCAUGGCAUUUAAUUUGGAUCUGUAAAAACAAAAAUUUUGUUGAAGUUAAAGGCAUAAUUAUGGAGACUUUUCAUUCUGAAGAAACACACCUUGGUUGACCCAUUCUUUUCUUUACAUAAUUAUUUCUGUCAACUGGUUUCAAGUAAAACAGAUGGAAAAAUAGUACAGUGUGAACAUGAGGGUGACACUUGGCAGGAGGAGAAAAUAGAUGCCUUACAGUUAGAGGUAAGAUAUUUUAUUAGUAAUUACUAAAUACCUAUGUCUACUGCUUAUUACUGUUCUAAGUUGGAAGGUUGUUUGGGCUUUUAAUUUUGCCAUUUGCCCUGCAUGUUAGCUUUUGUUUUUAAGAUCUAUGUUGCUCUGAAGGAUUACUAAAAUAUUUUUAUUCCAUCUCAUUUUCAGCUUUGAAAGUCUGGGUUUCACUGAGUCGUAUUACUUCCAGUGUCACGUUCCUAGUUGUCUCAGGUUCAGGAUUAGGGUUGUCCUCUGUAGCUGUGAUAAAACCGGAGAUAAGAAUCUUCCUGUUGGCAUCACAGUAGCAGUUGGAAAUUGAGCAAACUUGGUCAGGAUGAGGAAUCUCCAAAGCAUCUUUCCAUGCCAAGAAGCUUUUUCACAUAUACUGGGCUGGAGUUUAUGAACUGGACCCUAAACACAGAUGAAGUCAUUUAGGGGUAUUCAUAUAAUUAAACAACAAAAUUAGCACAGUCUGAUUUUUCUCACUGAAGUAAUUCCCAUCUAUUGUAAAAUUGAUGUGUAAAUUUUAUGUUAAGGGAGGAAUAGUUUAACAUGAGGUCUAUUUUAUAUAAAUUUCAAAAUGAUGGUUUUAAAAACAAAUACCUUAACCAUAGGAGGAAGUGGACAUUUGAAACUUGAUCAUCUCCAGACUUUUAAGGUCAGUGGAAUGGCCUAAAAUAGGAUUAUUGUUACUAUUAAUAAACUGUAUUAAUCUGAAAAAGCUCAAAUCUUUAAUGUUAAAAUUUUUAGACUAAGUAACUAUAAUAUAUUAAGUAUGUUUAUUCAGUGAGUAUUUAUUGAGAGUUAUUCUCCAUGUGCUGGGAAUUCAGCAUUGAAUAGGCUCCAUGCUCUCAUAGAGUGUACAUUCUAGUGACACGCACAUUUUCCCAAUUGUCCUUUCUUUCUGUUACCCUUCAUUCUCUAGCCUGCAAACAUGAUUAGAUCGCUUCCAGUCCCCUGGAACAGUUUCCAGAAUGCAGAUGUGACUUACUGUCUCUCACAGGCAUGUCCAUUGAUUGAGCUCAGCUAGACAGGGCUUGCUCAUGUUGCACAGUUAAGGCACCUGGGGCCACAGGUGCAAGGUGGCUUCUUCACUCAUAUGGCUGACAGCACACAGUUGCUUGGGUUUCCUGACUGUAUGGCAGGCUCAGGCUAGUCUGACCUCUCACAUGACAGCUGGUUUCCCCAGAGAGUUCCACAAUACCAGGGAGACUUCUAAGAUCUAGCUUUAGAUUUUGCCACCAAAUUCCAUUGAUCAGCAUGAGUCAUGGGCCCCGUCCAGGUUCACAGAGAGGGAGGAGAGCCUCCACACCUGCCUGAGAAGAGCAGCAAAGAAUUAGCAGCCACCUUUCCUCUACCACACUACUGUCAUGAUUGUUGUAAGAACCAAGUUAGAUUAUUCUUUGAACCAUUUAACAAAUUUUUAGUGAACACCUGUGAUGGGCCAGGCACUGUUCUAGGGCUGAGGACACAGUGGGAACCAAACUCAGUAAAGAUCUCUCUCUCAUGGAGCUGGUAUUCUGGUGGGCAUAGAAAAUCAAUCAGAUACACAAGGCAACCUCAGACUGCAGUCGUAAGUGCAAAAGAGAAAAACAGGAUCCAGACAGUACCGAAUAGGGGGAAGAUAGAGAAGGCUAGCUCUGUGCUGUUGUGAGGAGGAACAGCUCCCGCCUCUGGGGAGAGACUGCUGCUGGUUUAAUGAAGCCAGUAUCAGGGAUGCACAGGCCUCUCCAUUCACUCAGGGAAGGAGUCCUUAUGCAAAGCUACUAUUCUCGUUUAAGAGUCUCUGCUCCCAAAGCCAAGAAGUGGCCUCAGGGGAGUACAGAGGGGAAAUUUCCCCUGAGGUUAAGGAAGCUGGUCUCUCAGGGAGGGGGCUGAGGUCACUUUAGUCACUUCAACCAAGGUGAAAGUGAAGGCAAGGACACCCCUCCAAGCUCUUCCUUGCCCAAGAGCUGUCCCAAUGUAGCUUGACCCUGGCUUAGGACUCCAGUCACUCUGGGCCAGGGUCUGGGACCUCAAACAAGAUCAAGGCAUGAAGCAAAGCCCAGAACUUGGUUGAUGCCAGGGCCUGAGAUUUCAGGGCAGCAGGACCCAUGGAGGGCUGGCUUGGCUCAGUGGCCAGGGGUUGAGACAAGAAUCAGGAGGAAUCUGGAUCUUUUAAUCACAUUGCCCCAUUUGUGUCACGUGGGACAAAGGACUUCACCUGCUCACACCUUUAUUUCCUCAUCUGUUGAGUAGAAAUCACUGUAAUACCCCUCACAGAGGGGCACAUGAGAGGCUUCCAAGUGUUGCCUUGAGCCUCACGGAGCGAGCAUGCAAGGCAGUGACCAUAAUGGUAGUGCCUGGAUGACACAAGAAGAACCGGGCAGUCUGGGUCCACUAGGGGUCACUUUCUUAGGCUCAAGUUUGGCAUUUCAGCACAAUGCCGCAGCACCCGUCACGUCAGAAUCUGAGCUGUGCAUCUGCAGUGAGAUGCUCAGGGCCUUCAGGAGGAGAGUGUGGGUGAACGUCAGCUAGGUUCUUGGGAAAUGUGUGGGUUCACAUUAGUUGGUUGAUCAUCAGUCUGGAGGGAAAAGACACCUCUGUUUCUUCCUGCAGGAGAGCUGGGAAGUGGGUGACAGGUAGUUUCCAGUGGAGGGAACAGGCGUGGCAGGAGGAGUCCAGGCUGGAAGCCAGGUAGACCCCAGUUCAAGCUGGACUGGGCCACACCCUGCCCACAUACUCCCCUCUCUGAGAAUCGACCUCACCUCCUGCUGAACGUGGAGGAGAGUGAAGCCCACGGGGAGAAGCAGAGAUAACACCCAUGAAGGACGGAGGAGGGCCUGGCCCACAGUCUGCGACCACUCUGAGCAUCUGUUCCAUUGCCACCCUGAGUGCAGGUUCAGGAUUCACAGCUUCACACCCACAGCUUCACUGAAGCACUUGAAGGGAGAGGUCAGCUACAGAGGGAAACAGGCUGCAGUGGUGGGGUGAGCCCGACUAACCUUGUACUGUUUCCUCCUCCUGAUCAGGAUAUCAGCACCUGGUCCCGAGAGGAUGACCCACCCAAAUUUGGGUUAUGUACUCAACAAAGAUAGUUGAGAUUUCUGAACUAUAUUCUGGUCAUAGGCCGGUAUGAUGCUGUUGUGACCACAGUAGAUUUCCCGUCAGUCUUAAUCUUAUGUACUAUCCUUUCUCUUCACCAAGGUCUUUAAGUCUGGGAGUGAUGAGUUUCCAUGUGUGUUUUCGAGGGGUUCCUCUAGGGACAGCAUGGAAAAUCGGUCCUAGAGAGGAGGACAGGCUGCAACAGCAGAGAGCUGACGUGAGAAAUGAUGAGGGCCUAAGUAGAAGCAACAGGGCUGGCUGGGAGGGAGAGCAUGGAGGGAGACUUGACAGGUCGCUGGGUGGAGACGAAAGAGAGGAGGAGUGAAAGACGUGUGAGGAUGCGGCUGACACUGCUUCAGGCUGAAGUGUGAGUUUUUGUUCUCCACUCCUUGUGU
This is a long non-coding RNA of Cervus elaphus (red deer), 4762 nucleotides long. RefSeq lists it as uncharacterized. The transcript has 6 exons. Lineage: Eukaryota; Metazoa; Chordata; Mammalia; Artiodactyla; Cervidae. The record is from RefSeq and is a predicted model, not a curated record.